RNAcentral lists this ribosomal RNA (279 nucleotides) under uncultured bacterium. RNAcentral's name for it is "partial 16S ribosomal RNA". It matches the Rfam family "Bacterial small subunit ribosomal RNA", at positions 506 to 784 of the family's 1533-position model. The record is from RNAcentral.
UGCCAGCAGCCGCGGUAAUACGGAGGGUGCAAGCGUUGUUCGGAAUUAUUGGGCGUAAAGCGCGUGUAGGCGGUUCGUUAAGUCUGAUGUGAAAGCCCGGGGCUCAACCCCGGAAGUGCAUUGGAAACUGGCGGACUGGAGUACUGGAGAGGGAAGGAGAAUUCCCGGUGUAGAGGUGAAAUUCGUAGAUAUCGGGAGGAAUACCAGUGGCGAAGGCGCCUUCCUGGACAGAUACUGACGCUGAGACGCGAAAGCGUGGGGAGCAAACAGGAUUAGAUA